CNUGGGAACUGCGUUCUGAACUGGGUGACUAGAGUGUGUCAGAGGGAGNUAGAAUUCCACGUGUAGCAGUGAAAUGCGUAGAGAUGUGGAGGAAUACCGAUGGCGAAGGCAGCCUCNUGGGAUAACACUGACGUUCAUGCCCGAAAGCGUGGGUAGCAAACAGGAUUAGAUACCCUGGUAGUCCACGCCAUAAACGAUGUCGAUUAGCUGUUGGGCAGCAUGACUGCUUAGUAGCGAAGCUAACGCGUGAAAUCGACCGCCUGGGGAGUACGGUCGCAAGAUUAAAACUCAAAGGAAUUGACGGGGACCCGCACAAGCGGUGGAUGAUGUGGAUUAGUUCGAUGCAACGCGAAGAACCUUACCUGGUCUUGACAUGUACGGAACCCUCCAGAGACGGAGGGGUGCCUUCGGGAGCCGUAACACAGGUGCUGCAUGGCUGUCGUCAGCUCGUGUCGUGAGAUGUUGGGUUNNNNNNNNNNAACGAGCGCAACCCUUGUCAUUAGUUGCCAUCAUUAAGUUGGGCACUCUAAUGAGACUGCCGGUGACAAGCCGGAGGAAGGUGGGGAUGACGUCAAGUCCUCAUGGCCCUUAUGACCAGGGCUUCACACGUCAUACAAUGGUCGGUACAGAGGGUAGCCAAGCCGCGAGGUGGAGCCAAUCUCACAAAACCGAUCGUAGUCCGGAUUGCACUCUGCAACUCGAGUGCAUGAAGUCGGAAUCGCUAGUAAUCGCAGGUCAGCAUACUGCGGUGAAUACGUUCCCGGGUCU
Molecule: ribosomal RNA, 768 nt
Filed under: uncultured bacterium
Lineage: Bacteria
Description: bacterial SSU rRNA
Rfam family: Bacterial small subunit ribosomal RNA
Source: RNAcentral